RNAcentral lists this ribosomal RNA (497 nucleotides) under uncultured bacterium. Its description in RNAcentral is "partial 16S ribosomal RNA". It matches the Rfam family "Bacterial small subunit ribosomal RNA", at positions 28 to 507 of the family's 1533-position model. The record is from RNAcentral.
GAUGAACGCUGGCGGCGUGCCUAAUACAUGCAAGUCGAGCGAACGGACGAGAAGCUUGCUUCUCUGAUGUUAGCGGCGGACGGGUGAGUAACACGUGGAUAACCUACCUAUAAGACUGGGAUAACUUCGGGAAACCGGAGCUAAUACCGGAUAAUAUUUUGAAUCGCAUGGUUCAAAAGUGAAAGACGGUCUUGCUGUCACUUAUAGAUGGAUCCGCGCUGCAUUAGCUAGUUGGUAAGGUAACGGCUUACCAAGGCAACGAUGCAUAGCCGACCUGAGAGGGUGAUCGGCCACACUGGAACUGAGACACGGUCCAGACUCCUACGGGAGGCAGCAGUAGGGAAUCUUCCGCAAUGGGCGAAAGCCUGACGGAGCAACGCCGCGUGAGUGAUGAAGGUCUUCGGAUCGUAAAACUCUGUUAUUAGGGAAGAACAUAUGUGCAAGUAACUGUGCACAUCUUGACGGUACCUAAUCAGAAAGCCACGGCUAACUACGUG